Molecule: long non-coding RNA, 218 nt
Filed under: Populus trichocarpa (black cottonwood)
Lineage: Eukaryota; Viridiplantae; Streptophyta; Magnoliopsida; Malpighiales; Salicaceae
Description: long non-coding RNA (PTRI_LNC000884)
Source: RNAcentral
UCGUAUUUUUUUUAUAUUUUUUUAUUUAUCAGAUUUGGUCUUUUAUUUUUUAUUGCUAUUUAUUUAUUUUUAAAUAAUUUAUAAAGUUGGAUUUGUUUUUAAUUUUAUUAUCUUUUAAUUUUUUUAUCUAUUAGAUUUGAUCUCUAUUUUUUUUACUUAUAAUUUAUGAAAUUAGAUUUUUUUUUUCAAUUCCAAGUUCUUUCAACUUUUAUAUCUAU